RNAcentral lists this unclassified non-coding RNA (378 nucleotides) under uncultured Actinomycetes bacterium. RNAcentral describes it as "uncultured actinobacterium contains 16S-23S intergenic spacer region". The record is from RNAcentral. Lineage: Bacteria; Bacillati; Actinomycetota; Actinomycetes.
UCCGAGUUGACCCCGGCGGUCUCCCACGAGUCCCCGGCAUAACCCGCUGGCAACGUAGGACAAGGGUUGCGCUCGUUGCGGGACUUAACCCAACACCUCACGACACGAGCUGACGACAGCCAUGCACCACCUGCACACCAACCACAAGGGAAGACGUAUCUCUACGCCCAUCUGAUGCAUGUCAAGCCCAGGUAAGGUUCUUCGCGUUGCAUCGAAUUAAUCCACAUGCUCCGCCGCUUGUGCGGGCCCCCGUCAAUUCCUUUGAGUUUUAGCCUUGCGGCCGUACUCCCCAGGCGGGGCGCUUAAUGCGUUAGCUACGGCACGGACAACGUGGAAUGUCACCCACACCUAGCGCCCAACGUUUACAGCGUGGACUAC